AACAUAAAAAAUAAACAUAUCAUAUAUCAGACUCCACUUCUCUCUCUUUAAGCCCUUUCUCUCAUUCUCACUGUCUCCUCUCUCUCUAAAUCCUAGAUUAAACACCAAAUUGAUACACCUCGCGGUGUCCGUCUCUCACUCUCAUGAUGAAUAUCUCUGAUGUUGUUAUCGCUCCUUUUGGAUUAGGAAUAGGCAGUUUUUUAAAUGUUAUGGUCUACUGUCUUAUUGACUUGUUUUGGUCUGCAAACUACAACUGAAACUAUAAGGAUUCUAGGAUACAAUACUUGGAUUCUACGAUUCUGUGAAGCUGUUGUCGCUAACUUCUGUUUGUCCUGUGACUGAGAAACAAGGCAAAGGUCAAGCGAAUUUCUCUGUCAAAUCUCUCUGUUCAGGUUUUUAUGCACCUUGCUCUCAUCCUUGGCUCUUCUUUUUGGAUCUUUGCCUGUUGAGUCUGCUGAGGAACAAUCGUCUCUUCUAGCUAGAAUUGGUAUCCUGUUCCCGACAUUUUUCUCAACAUAAGUUUCUUUGCAGUUGAGCAAAGCCUAGUUAAGGCAUAAGCUAAGAAGGUAGAGUAAUAUACCUUUUUCACACAAAUUGCUACUUAAUUUCAUGAAUCAGUAAAAGCUAUGAUUACUUUUUGCUUCUUCCUGAAUUUAUAUUAAAUUUAAAAAAAAUGAGUAGUUCAAAAGUACACCCAAUAAGAGUUGUGGUAGAAUAAUAAAUGUUGAAAAAAAUUCAUGAAUAACUAUUGAAACUAAGUGAAGCAUUGAAAAGUAAUGGUACUUUAAGCCAUGAAAUGUAUGAAAACUACAUUGUUAGUGUUUUUUUCUUUUGUUAUUGUUUUGGUUCUCAUGUUUUUGUUUCUCUUCUCUGUUAUUAUUGUGUGGCGUUCUUGUGUAGAUGAAAAAUGAAGAUCGUACAUGGAUGUAUAAUAGAACUUAUCCUAACCGUGUGGGAUUGAGGGAGGAAAAUAAAGUUGGGGUAGCUGGAUUUAUUGCUAAAGCAAUGACACUUGAUGAUUUUCUUACUGAAGGGACAAUUAGGUGUCCUUGUUGGAAUUGCAAGUGUUGCAAGUUAUUAAGUCCAGAUGUUGUUACAUUACAUCUUUAUAGGAAGGGUUUUAUGGUGAAUUAUACUGUGUGGACAGCCCAUGGAAAGAAUAGUGAUGCUAAUGAUUUUGCUUUUCAGAAUUAUGUUGAAAGUCCAAUAAGAAAGAAUAAUAUUGAACGUUCACGAUAUAGUGAGAUGAUCAGGGAUGCUUUUGGGACACACUCAAGGGCUUAAAAUGAACCAAAUAAUAAGGCUAAGCACUUUUAUGAACAGUUACAGGAAGCUUGUCAUCCAUUGUAUGAAGGAUCGGUGCAUUCUAAGUUAUAUGUUGUUGUUCGGCUACUGAGUAUUAAAUCAGAUCAUUCUAUUUCUCAAGAGGGCACGAAUUCUAUUAUUGGACUUAUGAAUGAACUUAACCCAAAUAAACUUGACUUACACCAAGAUUUCUACACAACAAAGAAGUUGAUUUCUAAAUUAGGACUAUCAUCAGAGAGGAUUCAUUAUUAUGAGAAAGGUUGCAUGCUAUUCUAUAAGAAAGAUGCAAAUUUAGAACAUUGCAAAUUUUGUAAUCAGCCUCAUUAUAAGGAAGUCACACAUGCCAAAGGGAAGAAGGUUUCUGUGAAGUCAAUGCACUACUUACCCCUUAUACCACGGUUAAAGAGGUUGUAUGCAUCAAUGAGUUCUUCCUCUCAUAUGAGAUGGCACUAUGAAAAUAAAAGACCACCUGGUGUUUUAUGUCAUCCGUCAGAUUGAGAAGCAUGGAAGCAUUUUGAUAGUGUGUAUCCGGAUUUUGCUAGUGAACCAAGAAACAUUAGGUUGAGAUUAUCUACUGAUGGAGAAGGAACAUCUAGGACAAAUGACGAAGAAGAUCCAACUGAUGAAAAUGAAAUAAGCGAGGAAGAGCUACUUGAUGAAAAUGAAACAAGUGAUGAGAAAGAUUCCAUGGAUGAAUAUGGAUCAAGUGAUGAGGAAGAAUUGAUGAAUGACUAUGAAACAAACGAUGAGGAUUGAGCUGGUAUUAAUAGUAGUAUGUAGUAACAAGGUCUUGAAUUGUAUUUUAGCUGCUGCUUUUUGCUAUUUUACUUGACAAUAUAGUGUCUUUUCUUUGUUAACAUUUGUAGUGUUAGUAUGAACAUUCAGGUUGUUGUAGUAGUGUAGAAAGAAUUGAAGUAGUAUCAUGUACUCAUAGCUUUAUGCUAGGUAUAUGUGCAAAGUUAUUAGCUGUCUGGAACUGUAAGCAUUCUAUCCUCAGUUUUCUGGUUGAAUAUUGAUUAUUGAACGUGUUUGGUGCUUAUUAUGUGCAAGGAGUAUCUUGAAGUAACCCAAGUUUAACUUAUGCGGUGUAGUAAUGAUUACUGCAACAAUAGUAUCUCAUCGCACAUUAUAUAAACUCUUAUUUGAUUGUACCGGGUAUUGCAUAGAAUUACUACCUAUAGAGAAUAAUUUAUUUGGCUCAGAUGAGUAUCUGCUUGAAUACUGAAUUACAGAUAUUGUUAAUUCUGGAUUAAUUUAUGCUUUAGUGCUUCAUGUGUGUUGUGUACCUUAUGAUGUUUUGAUUGUACUGGAUAUUGCGUAACGGUGUUAUCUCCGGGCUUCACGUGUUGUACCUUCUGCUGUUUUAAUUAUUCCAGAAAUUGUAGAUAUUGUAUCAUUGAUAAAAUAGGGUACUAAACUCUAGAGCAGUUUUCGUCUAGCCGGAUGACUAUCUGUUUUAUGUGUUGUACAUUCUGCAAUUCUAGUUGUACAAGAUUUUGCAUUGUAGUGUUAACUGUAAUUCAAGGCAGUUCUAAUUUGGUGAACAAUGCUGCCUAUGAGGUUAUUCACAGUGUUUACUGAUUCUAGACUCAUUUUUACUGACGGCAAGCUGCUUACUAUUAUUUGCAACACUACUGUUAUAAGUGAACCCCCUGACCUGCCUCCUCCUAUGGUACUUGCAUUUGAGCUGCUGCUGCAUGAUGCUGCCUCCGUGUCUAGUUGCCGUCCGUCUGGUGAUAUUGUGAACCCUGAGGGAAGUAAUGGGAUAUAUGUAGGGUCCUCACCGCUCAUCGCUAUGUUGAUGGCACUGGGCUAUACACUACUAGUGCCCUUGAUGAGUCUAGUGUUUUAGUGUGGAUAAAGUAAUUGAUAAGUAUUUAACUUGUAGAAAUACCAAUUGAUAGUUAGUCUUUGGUAGAUAUAGAAUAGAAAGUAUUAAAAAAAUUGAAUUACUUCUGAGCAUUUGGUUGGAACACUUCCUUUGUAUUUUUUUCUCUUUUUUGGAUGGAUCUCUGUAGGCUAUAUGUGACACCAUAUGAAAGAACAAGGAGUUUAAGAUAUUACACUUUCAAUUAUAUUUUCUAAGUGGUCUCGAAACAAAUAUUAAAAUGUUUUAAUCCUGGGAUUCUACAACAACUUGUUCAGAGAGACAAAGAAGUGGAGAUCAGGAUAUUAUGUUGGGGAUUUGCAGUAUAGUAUAGUACUGUUGUUGUAGCUAAAGAAAGUGAAAUUUUAUACUAUAGGUUAACCAUAUGCAGAUUUUUGGUGUCAUUUUAAUGCCUUAGAUUUAAAGACUGCAUUGCAAAAUACAAAUUUAAGGGAAGGGGAGGUAUCCAGUCAUUAGAACCAUUUCUUUGUCAGUAUAUUUCUUUGUCCAAAAAUGACAGUAUUUCCUAUAGCGCCAUCUUUGUCCUUCUAUUUCAUAGAACUCCCGGCCUAAUUGUUUAAAGUAUAUAUCUACCUACCUUCUAACAAACAUGGAUAUUCUUAAAUUUGGUUGUUCCUUCUUUUUCAAGUGGCUAGUAAAGAAAAUCAUGGCAUCAAAAGGUAAUGUUAAUGUACGACGUAAGAAAAGUAAGAAAGGAACUGAUAAUAUUCCUACAGGUCAAUGUACACUACCACCACCUGUUACCACAUUUAUUCAACCAUCCACUACAAAUAUUCCUCCCCCUCCACAUUUUUUAUGCCUCCACCGUUUGAUCAGUUGCAAACCUCUUCAUUUCAAAAUAGUUUUCAUAGUAGCGCUUCAUCUGUGCCUUCUACAUCAUCCGUACGAAGCCUUUCUGGGUUGAGAGUUGGAUGUCCUAACGUACCAACAUCGCCAUCUAUUGAUAGUGCUACAACGCCUAAUGCUACAACUGCUACUCUCAGAAUUUGUAAUUUAAAGAGGUAUUAGAAUAUGACAAUGUUGGGAGGUUACGAAUCAUCCCUUAUCGUAAUGGGUAAGUAACACUUAAGUUUUCCUUAAUUUUUAAUAGCUAAGAUGAUGGUUUAAUAUAAUCUUAUUGCAGGUUCAUUCCAGCAUAUACCGCCGGGCAUACGGUUAUUGAAGCAACCAAACCAUUUUUCAUAAAGCCGUGGAAUAGUUGGUUGGAUAUUCCAUGGGAAAUUAGAAUUGUCAUGUGGAGACAAUUUAUUGUAUAAGCAGUUUUAUAAGCUAUGAAUCUCAUUAACUAAAGAUAGUUUUUUCAUUUUAUCCAUUAACUCAUUUUAUGACUUUAUAUUAAACUAUUUUGCAGACGAGUGAUUGUCAUGAUAAUGAAGUAGACCGCAUUUUUCAGUUAAAAGCAGCUCUACGGAUCAAAGAACACUUGUAUGAGGCCCAGAGGAAAUUGAUAAAACCUGGUUGGUUGAAUGAUGAAGUAUGGACUCAGUUCUUGAUAUUAUGGGACACUCCUGAAUUUAAGUCAAAGAGGGAACGAGGAAAGGCAAAUCAAGCCUCUAAAACAGGUGGCUCGCUACACACCGGAGGUUCUAUGAGUUUCGCUACCCACCAAAGAAGACUAGUAUUUUUGUUGUCCAACUACUUUAUCCAUUUAUACGUGAUACCCUUUUAUCCAUUUACUGUGUUGAUAGAAGUUACAUAAAGUGGCAGUGAUGAGGGUGUUUCUAUUUUUGGGCUAACCAUUUCUGGCAUGGAAGUACCCAACCCAUAUCUUGGUGUGGCAACACUGUGUAUGCCCUGUGAUUGAGGCUUCUCUCUCCCUUACAAUCAGUGUUUGCAGCCAUGGGGUGGCUGGAUUCUGUUUUGCCUUUUCGUGGAACACAUCUGAGCCCCAUUUUUAUGAAAAGAGUGAAAAAAGUAAUCUUUUUCGUGAUUUAUUCUACACCCCACACCAACAUAUGACUUCUUCCUCUUCUAUUUUCUGCUACUUAUUACUAACUUGCAGAAAGUAGCUUAACUCUUUUUUCACUUUGAGUACCUAGAAAAUAUAGGAUAGUUCCUAUAGGACCAGUCACAGGGCUAUAGUAUAUGAUUGAGCCUUAGUAGUAGUUCACUAGUUCUUGUUGAUGCGAUUUCUUCAAAAAAGUGAGUUAAUUUGUGGAUUUAACGUGCUUAUGUUGUUGGAUUAUGUAGUGUUCAGAAUUUGUGCAGCUUUCAGUACAAGUUUUAAGUUAGGAUAUCAAUGUUCUGAAAGCAAACAGGCACUCCAACCACUUUACCCAUUUACACGUGAUACCCCUUUAUCCAUUUAUAUAAGAGUUUGGUGACAUAUACUGAUGUUGAGACGCAAUACUAAUAUAUUGGUAUGUGAAAACAUACAUCCACAUAAUGCAUAAGCCACAUAAUCAGAGAACCUAUUGUUCUCUCCCUGUUUUAGUUCCAUUCUAUGGCUACAGAAACUAGUUUCACCAUUGAUAACCAAACAAACCAACAGCCCUUUGAAAUAAAUAGAAAGGAAAAAAGAUUUAACGCAGUUCUUUGUGUUACUCUUACUGCUGAUAAUGAUGUUAUAAAGGGGUUGUGAUGAUUGCAUCCUUGAUUUCUGGACUAUGUUCAAUCAUAGCAUCGAGAAUAACACGUCCCAUAUAUUGGCAGGGCGACCCGGUUAUGGCUUUGAAUAGAAAAGUGCUGGUGUCUGGAGCCAUGGCAAUGUUGCUCCUCUUUUGCUUUGUUCUAAAAUAGCAAAUCUGAGCCCGCUAUUACCUGUUUUUUUUUCUCUUGGAUGGUGAUUCUUGUCGAGUCGGAAAACCAACAGAUCCUUGUGGUCCGGUCCUUCUCAGAAACUCGUGUACAAUAAGAUUUUAAUACACUUAACUGCAUUUUUUAAACUAGGACAGUCUUUUUUUUUGUGUGUGUAUGUGUUACUGUGUUGAUAGAAGUUACAUAAAGUGGCAGUGAUGAGGGUGUUUCUGUUUUUGGGCUAACCAUUUCUAGCAUGGAAGUACCCAACCCAUAUCUUGGUGUGGCAACACGGUGUAUGCCCUGUGAUUGAGGCUUCUCUCUCCCCUAAAAUCAGUGUUUGCAGCCAUGGGGUGGCUGGAUUCUGUUUUGCCUUUUCGUGGAACACAUCUGAGCCCCAUUUUCAUGAAAAGAGUGAAAAAAAGUAAUCUUUUUCGUGAUUUAUUCUACAUCCCACACCAACACAUAACUUCUUCCUCUUUUAUUUUCUGCUACUUAUUACUAACUUGCAGAAAGUAGCUUAACUCUUUUUUCACUUUGAGUACCUAGAAAAUACAGGGUAGUUCCUAUAGGACCAGUCACAGGGCUAUAGUAUAUGAUGAGCCUUAUUUCACUAGUCCUUGUUGAUGAGAUUUCUUGAAACAAGUGAGUUAAUUUGUGGAUUUAAAGUACUUAUGUUGUUGGAUUAUGUAGUGUUUAGAAUUUGUGCAGCUUUCAGUACAAGUUUUAAUAAGUUAGGAUAUCAAUGUUCUGAAAGCAAACAGGUACUCCAGAUAUAGCUGAACUUUUACAAUAGCAUUUACCUAUAUAUGGGUAAAAUUUUGCAGAACUUCUUAAAUGGGGGAGUAGCUGUACCUAUUCCUAAGACCUUCGAAGAGACACAUAAGAAGAAAAAUCCGACGGUACAAGAGAAGAAUGGGUCGAACCGCGUGCUAAGGAUGCAUAUGAAGGAUUUCAAAAAAGCAUUGAAAAUUGGCGUCAAACCCAACCUGUUUCAGAGGAUGGUACCAUGGUCCAACCAUCACCUGAUGAUAUGAAUAGAAUGUGGACAAAUGUGGUAGAUGGUCCAAAAAAGGGUAACACCUACGGGCUUGGAGGUAACCAAUCCUCGAGUAGUUCUUCCCCAAUGCUGCCCAACUUUGCUUCUAUUUCGCAAAAUGCGAAAGAAAUGGAAACGAUGAGAACAAAAAUUGAAGAGUUGACGCAACACUGUGCCGAAUUUGCCAAGUUUGAAGCGUUAGUCAAGAAGCAUAUGCCGCAAGUAUUUGAGGAUGGGGAAGAUAGUGCAGAUGAUUAGAUUGUAGUGGUUGGUUUUUGUUUAUGAUUGUGACAUUUAAACUUAGAAUAUUAGAAUUGGUGUUUGUUUUGGAUUGUGACGUUUCGAUCGACUUGUCUUGAAAUGCUUAAACUAUUUGAUUC
This is a long non-coding RNA of Capsicum annuum, 7348 nucleotides long. RefSeq lists it as uncharacterized. The transcript has 4 exons. The record is from RefSeq and is a predicted model, not a curated record. Lineage: Eukaryota; Viridiplantae; Streptophyta; Magnoliopsida; Solanales; Solanaceae.